This is a non-coding RNA of Felis catus (domestic cat), 85 nucleotides long. NCBI's taxonomy places the organism in Eukaryota, Metazoa, Chordata, Mammalia, Carnivora, Felidae. The record is from Rfam.
GCCUGGGUGGCUCAGUCGGUUGGGCGUCUGAUUUUGGCUCAGGUCAUGAUCUCCCAGUCUGUAGGUUCGAGCCCCACAUCGAGCU